This is a long non-coding RNA of Hibiscus syriacus, 343 nucleotides long. RefSeq lists it as uncharacterized. The transcript is spliced from 2 exons. NCBI's taxonomy places the organism in Eukaryota, Viridiplantae, Streptophyta, Magnoliopsida, Malvales, Malvaceae. The record is from RefSeq and is a predicted model, not a curated record.
CAUAUGAAUAAGUAUUGAGAUAAAAGAUGUUCCUUAAAACUUAAAAGACAGUUUGUUUUACCGAAGAUUGUACUGGAGUGCUGGUUAACAUUCCAUUGCCUGUGGGAGCUUUACAGGAGAAAAAGAGAAAAUGACAGACUGCAAGGUUUGGGCUAACAGGGAAACGAUGUAUCAACUGUCAACUACUCACUGCCAAUAAUCAUGAGGCCACACAGCCAAUUAAUUCAUACAGCUUGAUGUUAAAAUUGCUGUUUUUAGUUAAACUUUGAUGGAUUUUGGUGGUGAAAGCUGAAGUUAUUAGCAGACUUAUCUUAAAUGCACUCUUCCUUAGAAGCUAAUCAAA